GGGCGUAUUGGGCCCGACGCUCGCAUGCUCCCGCGCCGCCAUGGCGGCCGCGGGAAUUCGACUUAGGAAUAAGCCACGGCUAAUUCCGUGCCAGCAGCCGCGGUAAUACGGGAGUGGCAAGCGUUAUCCGGAAUUAUUGGGCGUAAAGCGUCCGCAGGCGGCUUUUCAAGUCUGCUGUUAAAGCGUGGAGCUUAACUCCAUCAUGGCAGUGGAAACUGAAAGGCUUGAGUAUGGUAGGGGCAGAGGGAAUUCCCGGUGUAGCGGUGAAAUGCGUAGAUAUCGGGAAGAACACCAGUGGCGAAGGCGCUCUGCUGGGCCAUUACUGACGCUCAUGGACGAAAGCCAGGGGAGCGAAAG
This 357-nucleotide ribosomal RNA is filed under the name uncultured cyanobacterium. RNAcentral's name for it is "bacterial SSU rRNA". It matches the Rfam family "Bacterial small subunit ribosomal RNA", at positions 442 to 774 of the family's 1533-position model. Lineage: Bacteria; Bacillati; Cyanobacteriota. The record is from RNAcentral.